UAGAGUUUGAUCCUGGCUCAGAAUGAACGUGGCGGCGUGGAUUAGGCAUGCAAGUCGAGCGCGAACCCGCAAGGGGGAGAGCGGCGAACGGCGUAGUAAUGGAUCGGAACGUACCCUUCGGCCGGGGAUAGCUACGGGAAACUGUAGGUAAUACCCGAUAACAUCUGCGGAUCAAAGGUGAGAUUCCGCCGGGGGAGCGGCUGAUUUGAUAUUAGCUAGUUGGUGGGGUAAUGGCUUACCAAGGCGAUGAUGUCUAGGGGGUGUGAGAGCAUGGCCCCCACGACCGGAACUGAGAUACUGUCCGGACACCUACGGGUGGCUGCAGUCGAGAAUCUUCCGCAAUGGACGAAAGUCUGACGGAGCGACGCCGCGUGCGGGAUGAAGGCCCUUGGGUUGUAAACCGCUGUCAGAGGGGAUGAAAUCUUCGGAGGUCCUCCUCCGAAGUUGACAGAGCCUCAAAGGAAGCACGGGCUAAGUACGUGCCAGCAGCCGCGGUAACACGUACUGUGCGAACGUUAUUCGGAAUCACUGGGCUUAAAGGGUGCGUAGGCGGCGAUACAAGUCAGGUGUGAAAUGCCGGAGCUCAACUGCGGCAUUGCGCUUGAAACUGUGUUGCUUGAGUAUUUCAGGGGUGUGGGGAACUGCCAGUGGAGCGGUGAAAUGUGUUGAUAUUGGCAGGAACACCGGAGGCGAAAGCGCCACACUGGGGAAUAACUGACGCUGAGGCACGAAAGCCAGGGGAGCGAACGGGAUUAGAUACCCCGGUAGUCCUGGCUGUAAACGAUGAGUACUGAGCGGAAGGGAGUUUACUCCUUUCUGCUGUAGUGAAAACGUUAAGUACUCCGCCUGGGGAGUAUGGUCGCAAGGCUGAAACUCAAAGGAAUGACGGAAGGGCGA
RNAcentral lists this ribosomal RNA (897 nucleotides) under uncultured bacterium. RNAcentral describes it as "bacterial SSU rRNA". It matches the Rfam family "Bacterial small subunit ribosomal RNA", at positions 1 to 924 of the family's 1533-position model. The record is from RNAcentral.